Molecule: ribosomal RNA, 301 nt
Filed under: uncultured bacterium
Lineage: Bacteria
Description: partial 16S ribosomal RNA
Rfam family: Bacterial small subunit ribosomal RNA
Source: RNAcentral
CAGCAGCCGCGGUAAUCCGAAGGGGGCUAGCGUUGCUCGGAAUGACUGGGCGUAAAGGGCGCGUAGGCGGAUUGUUUAGUUAGGCGUGAAAUUCCUGGGCUUAACCUGGGGACUGCGCUUAAUACAGGCAGUCUAGAGUGAGGAAGAGGGUUGUGGAAUUCCCAGUGUAGAGGUGAAAUUCGUAGAUAUUGGGAAGAACACCAGUGGCGAAGGCGGCUCACUGGACCGACACUGACGCUGAGGCGCGAAAGCGUGGGGAGCAAACAGGAUUAGAGACCCCCGUAGUCCCUGUCUCUUAUAC